UACGGGGGGGGGCAAGCGUUGUUCGGAAUUACUGGGCGUAAAGGGCUCGUAGGUGGCCAACUAAGUCAGACGUGAAAUCCCUCGGCUUAACCGGGGAACUGCGUCUGAUACUGGAUGGCUUGAGUUUGGGAGAGGGAUGCGGAAUUCCAGGUGUAGCGGUGAAAUGCGUAGAUAUCUGGAGGAACACCGGUGGCGAAGGCGACGUCCUGGACCGGCAUUGACGCUGAGGCGCGAAAGCCAGGGGAGCAAACGGG
Molecule: ribosomal RNA, 254 nt
Filed under: uncultured bacterium
Lineage: Bacteria
Description: partial 16S ribosomal RNA
Rfam family: Bacterial small subunit ribosomal RNA
Source: RNAcentral